RNAcentral lists this unclassified non-coding RNA (1342 nucleotides) under Hevea brasiliensis (rubber tree). Lineage: Eukaryota; Viridiplantae; Streptophyta; Magnoliopsida; Malpighiales; Euphorbiaceae. The record is from RNAcentral.
AGUGCCUUUUGUACAUUCUACUAAUGAUUACUUAGCUAUCUUUGUUUCUGUAUAGGAUUUUUGAGUUAUGAUUUUGGCUCAUGUUUUGUUGUCACUGUCAUCCCUUGUAGGUAUAAGGUAUAGAUACAAAUAUAGUUGUUGCUCAUCUCUGAUGUAACUUAAAUUGGUUAGAAUUUACUGCACUGAUCUUUCAAGCUUCUUAACCAUACAGAUAGACAAUCCCUUCCCGCUGGAGUCAGAUAAAGGGGGAAAAUCACCUUCAUCUUUCAAUUGGUAUGAUUGUAUCCCAAUCCUAUCUUGAUCCAUGGCCAAAACAGGUUUUGGCCCUUGCAUCCCUGGUAUUGCUUGGCUCACACUAGAGUUGUGAGCUGGUGCAGAACCUGGGUUUGGAUGCCUACCACCUUCUGUUGCGGAGACACCAUGUGGUGGAUGCCCAAAUGACCCAAAUUCUACCAUGCUCUCUGACAGAUGCAUUGAACCAUUUACACUGGAACAAUGUUUGUUUUCAGGAGAACCAGUGUAGCAAAGAUCUGAAGAUCUGAACUUUCCACCACUUAGGUGGAUGUGAAACUGUGCUUGUGACAGCUCACGGUCUCGGCAGUUUCUUUCUGGCAAAUUUUUCUCCUGGGAAGUGCGACCAUUGGAUCGAGGAGACCUUGCUGGUGCUUGACUCCUACCCCUAGCUGUCAAAGUCCUAUCCCUGUAAUGGUUCGUGUUGGGAAAAUAUGUCCCUGUUCCUCGUGGCUUUGGCAUUUCUUCCAUACCAAAGGCUCCACCAGGCAGCAUAGGUGGGUUAAUGGGGUAGAAAACUGGUCUUGGGACAACACCAUUGACAUUCAUCUGGGAGAACACAUCCUGCCUAAACUGCACCGACCGUCUUAUUACAUCCCAUGAAUUCUUGCUCUGGAACUGAGUAUGCAGCUGUGGAGACACAGAAGGAAGGGAUGUAGUAAAUGCGUACUCAUACCACAAUCGACCAUGUUGCAAACUGUUUAGGUGACUCUCAUAAUCCCCACUAAGAUCUGACAAGGACUUGAAGCCUUCAGGAUUUCCAGCAGUACUAGCAGAGGCACGAUUGUUGGAAUGGCUAGGAUAAAGAUCUUCAGAGGACCAAGCCACUGAACUGAAGAGUAAUGGAUGAUAUGUUGAACCCGCUGGGGAUAGAACCUCAGGUUUAGCAACCAAAUGCUUGUCAUCUGUGUCAUUACAGACAGAAUGGAUCAUAUCCUCAGUGGGAGCUAGCAUAAUCCCAGAAGGCACUCUCUUCACCAUAAAGCCAGAACUUUCUUGAUGUUUCCAUUCUGGAUUCCCAUUUCUCAUUUCCCCAUUUCCCAUGACUGAG